Molecule: long non-coding RNA, 453 nt
Filed under: Prunus persica (peach)
Lineage: Eukaryota; Viridiplantae; Streptophyta; Magnoliopsida; Rosales; Rosaceae
Description: long non-coding RNA (PPER_LNC008250)
Source: RNAcentral
UUCAUUUGGAGGGUCAGAAAAGCUAAUUCCAAGUCAAAUAAGGAGAAAGAAGAGAUUUUCCUCCCUUCUAUGAAAGCAAGGGAUACACCAGUUAUUCAGAGAACUCAUCCAUCCCCAAAAUAAGUCAAAUUGAGAGAGAGUGCUUCUAGCAGCCGUCGUCCACACCUUGCUGCCGCCACCUUAUUCUUCUAUUAUUCGUCUCUUCUCUAUGUUUUCCUUGUGUUUUAUUUAUGACUAUGUCUAGCUAUGUCUUUUAGCUAAGACUAGGAUGAUGCCCUAAUGUUAUUAUUCAUGUUUUGGAUGCUAAGUUAAUUGAGUUCCAAAUUUGAUUGAUGAAUUCUUAAUCUCUAGUUUAUUUGGUUCUACUUGUUUGAGUUCUAUUGAUUCACGACCUUUAGGACUUGCAUCUAUAAUAUUUGUGUGUUGUGUGUCGACUUAAUAUGUUGCAUGUUU